GCAGGGGACCGCAAGGCCUUGCGCUCUUUGAGCGGCCGAUGUCAGAUUAGCUAGUUGGUGAGGUAAAGGCUUACCAAGGCGACGAUCUGUAGCGGGUCUGAGAGGAUGAUCCGCCACACUGGAACUGAGACACGGUCCAGACUCCUACGGGAGGCAGCAGUGGGGAAUUUUGGACAAUGGGGGCAACCCUGAUCCAGCCAUGCCGCGUGAGUGAAGAAGGCCUUCGGGUUGUAAAGCUCUUUCGGCCGGGAAGAAAUCGCAUGGGCCAAUACCCUGUGUGGAUGACGGUACCGGAAUAAGAAGCACCGGCUAACUACGUGCCAGCAGCCGCGGUAAUACGUAGGGUGCGAGCGUUAAUCGGAAUUACUGGGCGUAAAGCGUGCGCAGGCGGUUUUGUAAGACAGGCGUGAAAUCCCCGGGCUUAACCAGGGAACUGCGUUUGUGACUGCAAGGCUAGAGUACGGCAGAGGGGGGUGGAAUUCCACGUGUAGCAGUGAAAUGCGUAGAGAUGUGGAGGAACACCAAUGGCGAAGGCAGCCCCCUGGGUCGAUACUGACGCUCAUGCACGAAAGCGUGGGUAGCAAACAGGAUUAGAUACCCUGGUAGUCCACGCCCUAAACUAUGUCAACUAGGUGUUGGGUGGGUGAAACCAUUUAGUACCGUAGCUAACGCGUGAAGUUGACCGCCUGGGGAGUACGGCCGCAAGGUUAAAACUCAAAGGAAUUGACGGGGACCCGCACAAGCGGUGGAUGAUGUGGAUUAAUUCGAUGCAACGCGAAAAACCUUACUUACCCUUGACAUGCCAGGAACUUGCCAGAGAUGGCUUGGUGCCCGAAAGGGAGCCUGGACACAGGUGCUGCAUGGCUGUCGUCAGCUCGUGUCGUGAGAUGUUGGGUUAAGUCCCGCAACGAGCGCAACCCUUGUCGUUAAUUGCCAUCAUUUAGUUGGGCACUUUAACGAGACUGCCGGUGACAAACCGGAGGAAGGUGGGGAUGACGUCAAGUCCUCAUGGCCCUUAUGGGUAGGGCUUCACACGUCAUACAAUGGUCGGUACAAAGGGUUGCCAAGCCGCGAGGCGGAGCCAAUCCCAGAAAGCCGAUCGUAGUCCGGAUUGCAGGCUGCUACUCGCCUGCAUGAAGUCGGAAUCGCCAGUAAUCGUGGAUCAGCAUGUCACGGUGAAUACGUUCCCGGGUCUUGUACACACCGCCCGUCACACCAUGGGAGCGGGUUCCGCCAGAAGUAGGUAGCCUAACCGCAAGGGGGGCGCUUACCA
This 1273-nucleotide ribosomal RNA is filed under the name metagenome. Its description in RNAcentral is "bacterial SSU rRNA". It matches the Rfam family "Bacterial small subunit ribosomal RNA", at positions 196 to 1459 of the family's 1533-position model. The record is from RNAcentral.